This 393-nucleotide ribosomal RNA is filed under the name uncultured bacterium. Its description in RNAcentral is "bacterial SSU rRNA". It matches the Rfam family "Bacterial small subunit ribosomal RNA", at positions 29 to 413 of the family's 1533-position model. The record is from RNAcentral.
AACGAACGCUGGCGGCGCGCCUAAUACAUGCAAGUCGAGCGAGAAGACGUAGCAAUACGUUUGUAAAGCGGCGAACGGGUGAGGAAUACAUGGGUAACCUACCCUCGAGUGGGGAAUAACUAGCCGAAAGGUUAGCUAAUACCGCGUACGCUCCUUGGACUUCGGUUCAGGGAGGAAAGCGAUACCGUGGGUAUCGCGCUCUUGGAUGGGCUCAUGUCCUAUCAGCUUGUUGGUGAGGUAACGGCUCACCAAGGCUUCGACGGGUAGCUGGUCUGAGAGGACGAUCAGCCACACUGGCACUGCGACACGGGCCAGACUCCUACGGAGGCAGCAGUAAGGAAUAUUGCGCAAUGGGCGAAAGCCUGACGCAGCGACGCCGCGUGGGGGAGUGAA